AGGUGAGGGCGAUCUGGCUGCAGCAUCUAUCACUGCAUUAAUCACUACGGUGAAUUGUCUGAUCUGGCUGGCUAGGUGCAUGUUCCCUUCCUCCCUGGACACUCUCUAUGUGUCCCUCCUAGAAGCCAUGAGCUGAGGCAAAGAGAACAAGCACCCCUGACAGAGGAGGACCAUUCCUUAGUCAAGGGUAUAUGAGUAGCUGUGCUCCCCUUCUACAACCUCCAAAUAAGCUCUUAAGGAUAUAAAAGACAGAUAAAAAUCUUGUUUUCUAAAGAUUAAUAGGGAGCAAUACAUAAAAAUAAAGUUACUUAUACUUUCAUGACUGAACAAUUCUAGUCUACUAUAUUU
Molecule: small nuclear RNA, 348 nt
Filed under: Octodon degus (degu)
Lineage: Eukaryota; Metazoa; Chordata; Mammalia; Rodentia; Octodontidae
Description: 7SK RNA (ENSODEG00000022965.1)
Rfam family: 7SK RNA
About the family: 7SK was discovered as an abundant small nuclear RNA in the mid-70s but a possible function has only recently been suggested. Two independent studies have found that 7SK RNA binds the CDK9/cyclin T complex (known as elongation factor P-TEFb).
Source: Rfam by way of RNAcentral